This 484-nucleotide ribosomal RNA is filed under the name uncultured bacterium. RNAcentral describes it as "partial 16S ribosomal RNA". It matches the Rfam family "Bacterial small subunit ribosomal RNA", at positions 30 to 507 of the family's 1533-position model. The record is from RNAcentral.
AUUGAACGCUGGCGGCAGGCCUAACACAUGCGAGUCGAGCGGAUGAAGGGAGCUUGCUCCUGGAUUCAGCGGCGGACGGGUGAGUAAUGCCUAGGAAUCUGCCUGGUAGUGGGGGAUAACGUCCGGAAACGGGCGCUAAUACCGCAUACGUCCUGAGGGAGGAAGUGGGGGAUCUUCGGACCUCACGCUAUCAGAUGAGCCUAGGUCGGAUUAGCUAGUUGGUGGGGUAAAGGCCUACCAAGGCGACGAUCCGUAACUGGUCUGAGAGGAUGAUCAGUCACACUGGAACUGAGACACGGUCCAGACUCCUACGGGAGGCAGCAGUGGGGAAUAUUGGACAAUGGGCGAAAGCCUGAUCCAGCCAUGCCGCGUGUGUGAAGAAGGUCUUCGGAUUGUAAAGCACUUUAAGUUGGGAGGGAGGGCAGUAAGUUAAUACCUUGCUGUUUUGACGUUACCAACAGAAUAAGCACCGGCUAACUUCGUG